RNAcentral lists this ribosomal RNA (596 nucleotides) under Tricholoma sulphurescens. RNAcentral's name for it is "eukaryotic LSU rRNA". The stretch from base 237 to 391 matches the Rfam family "5.8S ribosomal RNA". Lineage: Eukaryota; Fungi; Basidiomycota; Agaricomycetes; Agaricales; Tricholomataceae. The record is from RNAcentral.
AAGGAUCAUUAUUGAAUAAGUUUGGUUGGGUUGUCGCUGGCUCGUAAGGGCAUGUGCACGCUCAACACCAAUCUUUUACCACCUGUGCAUUUAUGUAGACUUGAAUACCUUUCGAGGAAACUCGGUUUGAGGACUGCUGCGUGCAAGCUAGCUUUCCUUGCAUUUCUGGUCUAUGUUUUCAUAUACUCUUUUAAGUCUGUCCCAGAAUGUGCUUUAAAUGCCUUUAAACUUAAUACAACUUUCAACAACGGAUCUCUUGGCUCUCGCAUCGAUGAAGAACGCAGCGAAAUGCGAUAAGUAAUGGUGAAUUGCAGAAUUCAGUGAAUCAUCGAAUCUUUGAACGCACCUUGCGCUCCUUGGUAUUCUGAGGAGCAUGCCUGUUUGAGUGUCAUGAUAUUUUCAACCGUUUCAGCUCUUGCUGAUCAGGUUUGGAUGUGGGAGUUUGCGGGCCUUUUCAAAGGUCGGCUCUCCUUAAAUGUAUUAGCGAAAUCUUUGGUGCCCAAGCUUAUGGUGUGAUACUUUUCUAUACCAUCUGCUCAAGCAGUCCAAUACGAGGUUCAGCUUCUAAUAGUCGCUCUUAUAGACAACUUAUGACA